AGAGUUUGAUCAUGGCUCAGGACGAACGCUGGCGGCGUGCUUAACACAUGCAAGUCGAACGGUGAUCUUGAGAGCUUGCUCUUGGGUGAUCAGUGGCGAACGGGUGAGUAACACGUGAGCAACCUGCCCCAGACUCUGGAAUAACCCCGGGAAACCGGAGCUAAUACCGGAUACGACACUGGCCCGCAUGGGUAUGGUGUGGAAAGUUUUUCGGUCUGGGAUGGGCUCGCGGCCUAUCAGCUUGUUGGUGAGGUAGUGGCUCACCAAGGCGACGACGGGUAGCCGGCCUGAGAGGGCGACCGGCCACACUGGGACUGAGACACGGCCCAGACUCCUACGGGAGGCAGCAGUGGGGAAUAUUGCACAAUGGGCGCAAGCCUGAUGCAGCGACGCCGCGUGAGGGAUGACGGCCUUCGGGUUGUAAACCUCUUUCAGCAGGGAAGAAGCGCAAGUGACGGUACCUGCAGAAGAAGCACCGGCUAACUACGUGCCAGCAGCCGCGGUAAUACGUAGGGUGCGAGCGUUGUCCGGAAUUAUUGGGCGUAAAGAGCUUGUAGGCGGUUUGUCGCGUCUGCUGUGAAAAUCCGGGGCUCAACCCCGGACUUGCAGUGGGUACGGGCAGGCUAGAGUGUGGUAGGGGAGACUGGAAUUCCUGGUGUAGCGGUGAAAUGCGCAGAUAUCAGGAGGAACACCGAUGGCGAAGGCAGGUCUCUGGGCCACUACUGACGCUGAGAAGCGAAAGCAUGGGGAGCGAACAGGAUUAGAUACCCUGGUAGUCCAUGCCGUAAACGUUGGGAACUAGGUGUGGGUCUCAUUCCACGAGAUCCGUGCCGCAGCUAACGCAUUAAGUUCCCCGCCUGGGGAGUACGGCCGCAAGGCUAAAACUCAAAUGAAUUGACGG
This 901-nucleotide ribosomal RNA is filed under the name uncultured bacterium. RNAcentral's name for it is "bacterial SSU rRNA". It matches the Rfam family "Bacterial small subunit ribosomal RNA", at positions 8 to 916 of the family's 1533-position model. The record is from RNAcentral.